Pararge aegeria (speckled wood butterfly) is the source of this 2783-nucleotide RNA transcript. It is a transcript of the gene named receptor expression-enhancing protein 5-like, with no coding region annotated. The transcript is spliced from 6 exons. The record is from RefSeq and is a predicted model, not a curated record. NCBI's taxonomy places the organism in Eukaryota, Metazoa, Arthropoda, Insecta, Lepidoptera, Nymphalidae.
UGUCACCGUCACAAGUCACAACUCACAUUUGUCAAACAGUCGUGGCUACAGAUUUGCUGGAGUGCCAAAUCCAUUUCCAUACAUCCCAGACCGCUAAAAAAACAGCAAGAUGACUUCCAAAUUACAAGAAUAUAAAGACACUUUAGAGCGUAGUUUGACCGACAAAAGCAAACCUUGGACCAAGUUCUUUGAAAAAGCCGAAGCGAAGACCGGCGUUAAUAGGGUCUACCUAUUUGUCGGCUUGGUGGCGUUCACUGGUUUAUAUUUAGUAUUUGGAUUCGGUGCGGAACUAAUAUGUAACAGUAUAGGAUUCGUCUACCCCGCCUAUAUGUCUAUGAGAGCUUUGGAGUCACCUUCUAAGGACGAUGAUACGAAGUGGCUGACUUACUGGGUGGUUUACGCGUGCUUCUCCGUCGUGGAAUACUUUUCCGAUUUUAUUGUUGGAUGGUUCCCUCUCUACUGGUUGAUCAAGUGCAUCUUUAUCAUCUGGUGCUACCUGCCGACCGACUACAACGGCUCCCUCAUCAUCUACCACCGCAUCAUUCGCCCCUACUACCAGAAGCACCACAGCCGCAUUGACGACAUCGCCAAUUCAGAUAUCCUGGACAAAUUGGUGCAAAACGCCAACAAGCAUAUGGAUAAAACUUUCGGUGCUUUAAACAAAAAACUGUCCGAACUCCAUAAAGAUUAGGUUAGGAUCCUGGUAAACAAGAAUAAAGCUGUACACACAUACACCACAAUAUCCAGACGCUUGGUAGCGGAUGCAGUUAGGAAGAACAAUUAAAACUGAAAUGCAAUUUUUCGAAUAACGGAGGGCGAAAAGUACAAAACAUCCGCUGCACUCGCUUUUGUACCGCUUCGGAGCACUCAUUGGACGCUAUAUAAAAAAAAAAAAAAAAAAAAACAGAAAAUCCAUAGACGAAAAAUAACAUUUUUUAUACUUGAAUCAAAGUUGUGUGAUUUAACGUAAAAGUCGGACAGUCCGAACGUAAUAAUAUUAAAUAAUUGACUGAUAUAUCUUUAACGAUCAAGUCUUUUUCUGUACAACGGUUUUGGGAAAUUCAUUUUGCGAUACGAUCAUUGUAUUACUAUUUAUGGUGGUAUUUAUGGUGGUCUAAGAGGUGGUGGGAAAUUUUGAAAAGGUGCUUUUUAAAGUUCUGAAAUUUGUAAUGUAACAUUCCGCAGUAUUUUGCGGAAGUAAAAUUAAUUAGUCUUCAGGAGAUCCAAAAAUCAAAGGUUUCAUGUUCAUAUCUUCCUUUUUCUAAAUAUUUUUAUUGGUGGGUUAGUUAUCCAAUUUUCUCACAAGCUAUAAAAUAAGUCGUGGUUUUUGUAUCUCCUGAAAAGUAUGUUAUUUUACUUGCGCGUUGUUUUGAUAAGGGACAAUAUGGUCAGAUAAAUCUUACUUGAAUAUGGGAAAUUGAAACAAAGCCGAUCCGUAUUAGUUUCACGGUUUCUGGAUCUAAGCGAGACUUACCCGAUAUUUUGGAUCAUCUAAUUGACUAGGUACUUUUAAAAUGCCACUCAGACUUCGCAACACGUGUCGUGUUUAAUCAAAUACUUUUCUUUUUUCCAGAAAUACUAAACGAGUUUGUAGUGUGUUCUGGGCAUAAAAAAUAUUAUUAUUAAAUUGUACGUGUACUCAUUACUUGUAGCGUGCUUGGCGUCGGAUGGGGUAUUCCAAAUGCAUUUUACAUAUGACGCUACAAGUGUGAAUAAGGUGCCGCGUAAAAUAUCAACUUUAAUUAAGUACUUUUCAAAUUUUCCUACCAGCUCAGCUAUUAUUUAAGUGUUCUUGUAUGAUUGUGACGGUUUUUGACGUGUUUUAGGUUGGAAAUUGUAGUUUAAUUAUUAAUUUUUGGUCUGAUUAAGAAAAAAACAUUGUUUGCUGGAUUAGGUAAGUGGCCUUAUCUUUAUAUUUUCUCUUAUUUUUAAGUUAACUUUGUCGCGAUGGAUUUCUUUUUUAUAAAUCGUUAUUUAUGUAGGAUGUAUUUGCUCAAGGAAUGUUGGUAAUUUGUCCGUUGCAUUGUGAAGUUUUUAAAGACCAUUUUGUUUUCUAUUUUUCUAGAUUUUUAUACAUCAUUUUGAUACGACCAGAUUACCAUUAUAUAACAUUAAUAAUUCCUUAUAUGAAAUUUACAAAAAUACUAUUUCAUUAUUGAUUCGACAAUAUUUCUACACUAAAAUGAAGUCAUAAUAUUGCUAUGUUUGUAGUGGUUGUAAUAAAACAUCAUGUUACAAAAAAUGGAAUCUUUAAAAUUUGAUUAGCUAAAUAUAAUGCAAUUAACUAGCCCCACUAUUUUGUAGGCGUUUUUUAAAUUUAAAGAAAUGCACUGAUGUUUAUUACUAUAUAAAAGCAGACUUAAUUAUAUACCUGUUGAUUAGCUUUCCUAGCUCAUAAUAUAGCCACGUAAAGAUAUUCUGUAAUAUGUAACGUCGUCUAUACCGAAAUCUAAAAAAUCCAAAAUAGAUCAAAGAAUGUUGACUGCUGAUAUUAAGUGACUACGAAAAAUGACAAAUAACACCUAAGUUCUAUUGACUAUUCGGUUUCGAGUAUGAUAACAAUUAUCGGAGUAUUUUAUUAAUAAGAAGCGUUAUAGACAAGUAUGUGAUCAAACCGUGCAAGUAAAUAUUUUUAAUCAUGUACCUAUUUUACCUUUUGCUUGAUAAAAUUUAAAUAAAUUAAAGUUAAGUGUGCCUUGAAAUUUUUGGCUGUAUUGAUUGAUGUAUAUCUACGCAAGGUAUUGUUAUUGCUGUUUUUCACGGAAUAAAAGGAAUUCAUUGCA